ACCUUGAUAGCUCAGUUGGUAGAGCACAGGUCUUAAGGCGGUUCCUCAUAUUAAGUGCUGUCAUUCCAAUGUCGCUGGUUCAACUCCCGCUCAAAGCA
This 98-nucleotide transfer RNA is filed under the name Xyrichtys novacula (pearly razorfish). RNAcentral's name for it is "tRNA.Leu". It matches the Rfam family "tRNA". From Rfam's summary of the family: Transfer RNA (tRNA) molecules are approximately 80 nucleotides in length. The record is from RNAcentral. Lineage: Eukaryota; Metazoa; Chordata; Actinopteri; Labriformes; Labridae.